This 498-nucleotide ribosomal RNA is filed under the name uncultured bacterium. RNAcentral's name for it is "bacterial SSU rRNA". It matches the Rfam family "Bacterial small subunit ribosomal RNA", at positions 29 to 518 of the family's 1533-position model. The record is from RNAcentral.
AUGAACGCUAGCUACAGGCUUAACACAUGCAAGUCAGGGGCAGCAUAUCGAAGCUUGCUUGAUAGAUGGCGACCGGCGCACGGGUGAGUAACGCGUAUCCAACCUUCCCAUCACUCAGGGAUAGCCCGCCGAAAGGCGAAUUAAUACCUGAUGGUCUCCUUUGCAGACAUCUAACGAGGAGUAAAGAUUCAUUGGUGAUGGAUGGGGAUGCGUCUGAUUAGGUAGUAGGCGGGGUAACGGCCCACCUAGCCGACGAUCAGUAGGGGUUCUGAGAGGAAGGUCCCCCACAUUGGAACUGAGACACGGACCAGACUCCUACGGGAGGCAGCAGUGAGGAAUAUUGGUCAAUGGGCGCGAGCCUGAACCAGCCAAGUAGCGUGCAAGGACGACUGCCCUAUGGGUUGUAAACUGCUUUUAUCAGGGAAUAAAGUGAGGCACGCGUGCCUUUUUGUAUGUACCUGAUGAAUAAGGACCGGCUAAUUCCGUGCCAGCCGCGGC